RNAcentral lists this ribosomal RNA (373 nucleotides) under uncultured organism. Its description in RNAcentral is "partial 16S ribosomal RNA". It matches the Rfam family "Bacterial small subunit ribosomal RNA", at positions 527 to 896 of the family's 1533-position model. The record is from RNAcentral.
AUAGGUGGCAAGCGUUGUCCGGAAUUAUUGGGCGUAAAGCGCGCGCAGGCGGUCCUUUAAGUCUGAUGUGAAAGCCCACGGCUCAACCGUGGAGGGUCAUUGGAAACUGGGGGACUUGAGUACAGAAGAGGAAAGCGGAAUUCCAAGUGUAGCGGUGAAAUGCGUAGAGAUUUGGAGGAACACCAGUGGCGAAGGCGGCUUUCUGGUCUGUAACUGACGCUGAGGCGCGAAAGCGUGGGGAGCAAACAGGGAUUAGAUACCCUGGUAGUCCACGCCGUAAACGAUGAGUGCUAAGUGUUAGGGGGUUUCCCGCCCCUUAGUGCUGCAGCUAACGCAUUAAGCACUCCGCCUGGGGAGUACGGCCGCAAGGCUG